Molecule: ribosomal RNA, 3033 nt
Filed under: Candidatus Zixiibacteriota bacterium
Lineage: Bacteria; Pseudomonadati; Candidatus Zixiibacteriota
Description: 23S ribosomal RNA
Rfam family: Bacterial large subunit ribosomal RNA
Source: RNAcentral
GAUUUUUGAUCAAGUUACUAAGGGCAUGCGGGGGAUGCCUUGGCACUGGUAGCCGAUGAAGGACGUGACAAGCUGCGAUAAGCCUCGGUUAGCUGCAAAUAAGCUUUGAGCCGGGGGUUUCCGAAUGGGGCAACCUGGGCCGUUAAUACGGCUCCACUGGCGGCUGAAUACAUAGGUCGCCAGGGACAACGCAGGGAACUGAAACAUCUUAGUACCUGCAGGAACAGAAAACAACAGUGAUUCUCCUAGUAGCGGCGAGCGAACGGGGAACAGCCUAAACCGAUGAGCACGUUAAAGGCGGUGCCCGUUGUGCCAUCGGUGUAGUGGGGACAGAUUAGAGCGAAGUACCGAUAGCUCGGAAAGUUACAAACCGUCCAUCUAGUCGAAUAUCUCUGGAAAGAGAAGCCAUAGGAGGUGAUAGCCCUGUAGGCGAAAGGUGUGAUGGCUUUCUGGAUCUGUUUCCCAAGUAGCACGGGACACGAGGAAUCCUGUGUGAAUCUGUCAGGACCACCUGAUAAGGCUAAAUACUUACCAGUGACCGAUAGUGUACAAAGUACCGUGAGGGAAAGGUGAAAAGUACCCCGGGAGGGGAGUGAAAUAGUACCUGAAACCGUAUGCCUACAAGCUGUGGGAGGAGAGCUUCAGUCUUCGGACCGAAGCAAUCUGACCGCGUGCCUAUUGAAUAAUGAUCCGGCGACUUACUCUCUGUUGCAAGGUUAAGCAAAAUACUUGCGGAGCCGAAGCGAAAGCGAGUCUGAACAGGGCGUUCAGUAGCAGGGAGUAGACCCGAAGCCAGGUGAUCUAUGGAUGGCCAGGAUGAAAUCUCGGUAAAACGAGAUGGAGGUCCGAACCCACCAACGUUGAAAAGUUGGGGGAUGAGCUGUCCAUAGGGGUGAAAGGCCAAUCAAACCUGGCGAUAGCUGGUUCUUCCCGAAAUGUCUUUAGGGACAGCCUCAGGUUAGUGUAACGGAGGUAGAGCACUGAUUGGGCUAGGGGCCCUACAAGGUUACCAACCCCAUUCAAACUCCGAAUUCCGUCUACAUGUUGCCUGGGAGUGAGUCGGUGGGGGAUAAGCUUCAUCGGCGAGAGGGGAACACCCCAGACCACCAGCUAAAGUCCCCGAGAUGUGCUAAGUGACAAAGGAUGUGGAGUUGCUAAAACAGCUAGGAUGUUGGCUUAGAAGCAGCCAUUCAUUUAAAGAGUGCGUAAUAGCUCACUAGUCUAGGAAGUCCGCGCCGAUAAUUUGUGGGACUAUGCACAUCACUGAAGCUGUGGAAUUUACUUUAUGUAGAUUGGUAGGGAAGCAUUCUGCGGGCGCCGAAGGUGUAUCGUAAGGUAUGCUGGAGCGCGCAGAAGAGAUUAUGCCGGAACGAGUAGCGAUAAAACAGGCGAGAAACCUGUUCGCCGCAAGCCUAAGGUUUCCUGAGGAAGGUUAAUCCGCUCAGGGUUAGUCGGAACCUAAGCCGAGGCCGAAAGGCGUAGGUGAUGGAAAACAGGUUAAUAUUCCUGUACCAGGUGUGACGCGUUAUACCUAUGGAGUGACGCAGGAGUGAAGGCUAUCCGGGCGAUGGAUAUCCCGGUCUAAGCAUGUAGGGGGAGAGGGCAGGCAAAUCCACCCUCUCAUACUCCGAGAUGCUAUGGGGAGGCCGAAAGGCCGUAAACUAGCCUUAAUCAUACUGCCAAGAAAAGCUUCUAUGGAAGUUUCACAUCUGUCCGUACCGCAAACCGACACAGGUAGGCGAGGAGAGUAUCCUAAGGCGCUCGAGAUAACUCCCGUUAAGGAACUAGGCAAAAUGGCCCCGUAACUUCGGAAGAAGGGGUGCUCCGAGUAGGUUUAGCCCCGCGGUGAAGCCCAAAGGAGUCUCAGUAAAGUGGCCUGGAUGACUGUUUACUAAAAACACAUCUCUCUGCUAAGCCUUAUAAGGCGAUGUAUAGGGAGUGAUACCUGCCCGGUGCUGGAAGGUUAAGAGGAGGGGUCAGCCUCUUCGGAGGCGAAGCUCUGAAUCGAAGCCCCAGUAAACGGCGGCCGUAACUAUAACGGUCCUAAGGUAGCGAAAUUCCUUGUCGGGUAAGUUCCGACCUGCACGAAUGGUAUAACAAUUUGGGCACUGUCUCAACGGGAGACUCGGCGAAACUGUAGCAGCGGUGAAGAUGCCGUUUACGCGUAUCGGGACGGAAAGACCCCGUGAACCUUUACUACAACUUGACAUUGGAUUUUGGUACAAUAUGUGUAGGAUAGGUGGGAGACUUUGAAGCUGGCCCGCCAGGGUCGGUGGAGUCGUCGUUGAAAUACCACCCUUGUUCUAUCGGAAUUCUAACUAUGACCCUUGAAUCAGGGCAUAGGACAUUGUCAGGCGGGUAGUUUGACUGGGGCGGUUGCCUCCUAAAAUGUAACGGAGGCGUUCAAAGGUUCCCUCAAGCUGGUUGGUAAUCAGCUGCAGAGCGCAAGGGUAUAAGGGAGCUUAACUGCGAGACAGACAAGUCGAGCAGAUGCGAAAGCAGGACCUAGUGAUCCGGCGGUUUAGUGUGGAAUUGCCGUCGCUUAUCGGACAAAAGGUACUCCGGGGAUAACAGGCUGAUCUCCUCCGAGAGUUCACAUCGACGAGGGGGUUUGGCACCUCGAUGUCGGCUCAUCACAUCCUGGGGCUGGAGAAGGUCCCAAGGGUUUGGCUGUUCGCCAAUUAAAGUGGUACGUGAGCUGGGUUUAGAACGUCGUGAGACAGUUCGGUCCCUAUCUGAUACGCGCGUAGGAGAUUUGAGGGAAGUUGACCUUAGUACGAGAGGACCGGGUUGAGCGGACCGCCGGUGUACCUGUUGUUCCGCCAGGGGCAGCGCAGGGUAGCUGUGUCCGUAAGGGAUAAGUGCUGAAAGCAUCUAAGUACCAAGCCCAUCCCAAGACUAGAUCUCCCAGCCGUUUAGGCUCUGAAGGACCCUGGAAGAUUACCAGGUUGAUAGGUCACAGAUGGAAGGUCAGUAAUGACUUAAGUCGAGUGAUACUAAUCGUCCGUGCGACUUGAUCAUAAAAUUUUUAUU